UUAAAGAGUGCGUAAUAGCUCACUGGUCAAGUGGUGUUGCGCCGAAAAUGUAUCGGGCCUUGAGUCGUUUACCGAAGCCACGGACUUUACCUUGCGUAGAGUGGUAGGGGAGCAUCCUGUAGCGGUAGAAGCGGCGGCGUGAGCCAGCCGUGGACGUAUCAGGAGAGAGAAUGCUGGCAUGAGUAACGAGAGACAGGCGAGAAACCUGUCCGCCGAAAGCCCAAGGGUUCCUGGGUAAAGCUAAUCUUCCCAGGGUCAGUCGGGACCUAAGCCGAGGACGAAAGUCGUAGGCGAUGGACAGCAGGUAGACAUUCCUGCACCGCGAACGUGGCGUUUGAGCGAUGGAGGGACGGAGAAGGGUAGGCCAACCGUGGCGCUGGUAGACCACGGGCCUUGC
This 397-nucleotide ribosomal RNA is filed under the name Chloropicon mariensis. RNAcentral's name for it is "partial Bacterial large subunit ribosomal RNA". It matches the Rfam family "Bacterial large subunit ribosomal RNA", at positions 1123 to 1518 of the family's 2925-position model. Lineage: Eukaryota; Viridiplantae; Chlorophyta; Chloropicophyceae; Chloropicales; Chloropicaceae. The record is from RNAcentral.